Molecule: long non-coding RNA, 1024 nt
Filed under: Brassica napus (rape)
Lineage: Eukaryota; Viridiplantae; Streptophyta; Magnoliopsida; Brassicales; Brassicaceae
Description: long non-coding RNA (BNAP_LNC012875)
Source: RNAcentral
AGGAAGGAGUUGAAGACGAGAGGAGGAGAUACUACGGUGGCCAAGAGUGAAGGGUAAUAUUGGUAUUUCGAUAUUUUUGUAUAGAUUCUGUUCAAAGAUUCGGUACAACACAUUCAUGGGAAGAGACUGAGUUUUCAGGAGAAAAGUUCUAUUAUCAUAUUGAGAAACAAAAUAUUUCAUGAGGAAAAAGUUGAUAAAAUGAAAUCUUGAAUCUUAGUACAAAUCCAAUAUCAUGUUAGUCAUUCUUGAAGAUAACAGUGUCUUCUGUAACAUGUUAAGUUAUUCAUGAUUUAGCACAACACAUAAACUAUAACGUCCUCUGUUUUGAAAUGGACAAAGAUAUAAAAAUACCUGUUCUAUCAUUGGCCAAAACUUGCAGGCAAAACACAUUCAAAAGCAGGUGAUAGAUUCAAUACAAAUACAGAUUGAGCAGCUGAGAUAGCACAAUGCACAAACUAACUUAUCAAAGUCCUAGCACGAGCACUUUCUGGGUUUUGGCUUGCUCCGCCUUCAAUGCAUCUUUAACUAUCAGAGAAUCUCCCGUUUUCAUAAUAAUGUCCUUUGAAUAAGGCAAGAAAAACAUAUGUUCUCUUGUUAUGAAAUCUUGUUCAUUGGUGGUGGUGUGGCUGGUAACCAAUGAUCCUCAUACAUAUUGAUUGGAAAUGAAGUGUAUUCUUCUUUAGGAGCGAUCUAACCAUGCUAAGAUUAAUGACCAACCAUAAGACUGGUCCUAUUUUGGUGUCGCUUCUAAGACAUGCGUUAUUUCAAUUACGAGCCUUCAAGAGUCUUGAAAAUAAGGGAUUUGGGUUUUAAAGGAUCCGCCAUGCUUAUCUUGCUAACAAAAAAUCAUUAAAUAUCUCAAGAUCUCAUAUUUUUUCUCCCUUCCUUUAUGGAUACUCUAAUCGCUUACAAGCAACCCAUGGAAUUAUUUUCGCAUCAGAAAAUUUAGUCUGCCACAACUUCCCUCUUCAAUAACACACUCAAAAUUACCUCUCUUUCUUCCCUAUCCUUCUAUCAGGUAAGU